Molecule: ribosomal RNA, 468 nt
Filed under: uncultured bacterium
Lineage: Bacteria
Description: partial 16S ribosomal RNA
Rfam family: Bacterial small subunit ribosomal RNA
Source: RNAcentral
GACGAACGCUGGCGGCGUGCUUAACACAUGUAAGUCGAACGGAAAGGCCCUGCUUUUGUGGGGUGCUCGAGUGGCGAACGGGUGAGUAACACGUGAGUAACCUGCCCUUGACUUUGGGAUAACUUCAGGAAACUGGGGCUAAUACCGGAUAGGAGCUCCUGCUGCAUGGUGGGGGUUGGAAAGUUUCGGCGGUUGGGGAUGGACUCGCGGCUUAUCAGCUUGUUGGUGGGGUAGUGGCUUACCAAGGCUUUGACGGGUAGCCGGCAUGAGAGGGUGACCGGCCACAUUGGGACUGAGAUACGGCCCAGACUCCUACGGGAGGCAGCAGUGGGGAAUAUUGCACAAUGGGCGGAAGCCUGAUGCAGCAACGCCGCGUGCGGGAUGACGGCCUUCGGGUUGUAAACCGCUUUCGCCUGUGACGAAGCGUGAGUGACGGUAAUGGGUAAAGAAGCACCGGCUAACUACGUG